This 2929-nucleotide ribosomal RNA is filed under the name Bacillus cereus. RNAcentral's name for it is "bacterial LSU rRNA". It matches the Rfam family "Bacterial large subunit ribosomal RNA". RNAcentral also lists the same sequence under 3 other names. The record is from RNAcentral. Lineage: Bacteria; Bacillati; Bacillota; Bacilli; Caryophanales; Bacillaceae.
UUUGGUUAAGUUAGAAAGGGCGCACGGUGGAUGCCUUGACACUAGGAGUCGAUGAAGGACGGGACUAACGCCGAUAUGCUUCGGGGAGCUGUAAGUAAGCUUUGAUCCGAAGAUUUCCGAAUGGGGAAACCCACCAUACGUAAUGGUAUGGUAUCCUUAUCUGAAUACAUAGGGUAAGGAAGACAGACCCAGGGAACUGAAACAUCUAAGUACCUGGAGGAAGAGAAAGCAAAUGCGAUUUCCUGAGUAGCGGCGAGCGAAACGGAACAUAGCCCAAACCAAGAGGCUUGCCUCUUGGGGUUGUAGGACAUUCUAUACGGAGUUACAAAGGAACGAGGUAGACGAAGCGACCUGGAAAGGUCCGUCGUAGAGGGUAACAACCCCGUAGUCGAAACUUCGUUCUCUCUUGAAUGUAUCCUGAGUACGGCGGAACACGUGAAAUUCCGUCGGAAUCUGGGAGGACCAUCUCCCAAGGCUAAAUACUCCCUAGUGAUCGAUAGUGAACCAGUACCGUGAGGGAAAGGUGAAAAGCACCCCGGAAGGGGAGUGAAAGAGAUCCUGAAACCGUGUGCCUACAAAUAGUCAGAGCCCGUUAACGGGUGAUGGCGUGCCUUUUGUAGAAUGAACCGGCGAGUUACGAUCCCGUGCGAGGUUAAGCUGAAGAGGCGGAGCCGCAGCGAAAGCGAGUCUGAAUAGGGCGUUUAGUACGUGGUCGUAGACCCGAAACCAGGUGAUCUACCCAUGUCCAGGGUGAAGUUCAGGUAACACUGAAUGGAGGCCCGAACCCACGCACGUUGAAAAGUGCGGGGAUGAGGUGUGGGUAGCGGAGAAAUUCCAAUCGAACCUGGAGAUAGCUGGUUCUCCCCGAAAUAGCUUUAGGGCUAGCCUUAAGUGUAAGAGUCUUGGAGGUAGAGCACUGAUUGGACUAGGGGUCCUCAUCGGAUUACCGAAUUCAGUCAAACUCCGAAUGCCAAUGACUUAUCCUUAGGAGUCAGACUGCGAGUGAUAAGAUCCGUAGUCAAAAGGGAAACAGCCCAGACCGCCAGCUAAGGUCCCAAAGUGUGUAUUAAGUGGAAAAGGAUGUGGAGUUGCUUAGACAACUAGGAUGUUGGCUUAGAAGCAGCCACCAUUUAAAGAGUGCGUAAUAGCUCACUAGUCGAGUGACUCUGCGCCGAAAAUGUACCGGGGCUAAAUACACCACCGAAGCUGCGGAUUGAUACCAAUGGUAUCAGUGGUAGGGGAGCGUUCUAAGGACAGUGAAGUCAGACCGGAAGGACUGGUGGAGUGCUUAGAAGUGAGAAUGCCGGUAUGAGUAGCGAAAGACGGGUGAGAAUCCCGUCCACCGAAUGCCUAAGGUUUCCUGAGGAAGGCUCGUCCGCUCAGGGUUAGUCAGGACCUAAGCCGAGGCCGACAGGCGUAGGCGAUGGACAACAGGUUGAUAUUCCUGUACCACCUCUUUAUCGUUUGAGCAAUGGAGGGACGCAGAAGGAUAGAAGAAGCGUGCGAUUGGUUGUGCACGUCCAAGCAGUUAGGCUGAUAAGUAGGCAAAUCCGCUUAUCAUAAAGGCUGAGCUGUGAUGGGGAAGCUCCUUAUGGAGCGAAGUCUUUGAUUCCCCGCUGCCAAGAAAAGCUUCUAGCGAGAUAAAAGGUGCCUGUACCGCAAACCGACACAGGUAGGCGAGGAGAGAAUCCUAAGGUGUGCGAGAGAACUCUGGUUAAGGAACUCGGCAAAAUGACCCCGUAACUUCGGGAGAAGGGGUGCUUUCUUAACGGAAAGCCGCAGUGAAUAGGCCCAAGCGACUGUUUAGCAAAAACACAGCUCUCUGCGAAGCCGUAAGGCGAAGUAUAGGGGGUGACACCUGCCCGGUGCUGGAAGGUUAAGGAGAGGGGUUAGCGUAAGCGAAGCUCUGAACUGAAGCCCCAGUAAACGGCGGCCGUAACUAUAACGGUCCUAAGGUAGCGAAAUUCCUUGUCGGGUAAGUUCCGACCCGCACGAAAGGUGUAACGAUUUGGGCACUGUCUCAACCAGAGACUCGGUGAAAUUAUAGUACCUGUGAAGAUGCAGGUUACCCGCGACAGGACGGAAAGACCCCGUGGAGCUUUACUGUAGCCUGAUAUUGAAUUUUGGUACAGUUUGUACAGGAUAGGCGGGAGCCAUUGAAACCGGAGCGCUAGCUUCGGUGGAGGCGCUGGUGGGAUACCGCCCUGACUGUAUUGAAAUUCUAACCUACGGGUCUUAUCGACCCGGGAGACAGUGUCAGGUGGGCAGUUUGACUGGGGCGGUCGCCUCCUAAAGUGUAACGGAGGCGCCCAAAGGUUCCCUCAGAAUGGUUGGAAAUCAUUCGUAGAGUGCAAAGGCAUAAGGGAGCUUGACUGCGAGACCUACAAGUCGAGCAGGGACGAAAGUCGGGCUUAGUGAUCCGGUGGUUCCGCAUGGAAGGGCCAUCGCUCAACGGAUAAAAGCUACCCCGGGGAUAACAGGCUUAUCUCCCCCAAGAGUCCACAUCGACGGGGAGGUUUGGCACCUCGAUGUCGGCUCAUCGCAUCCUGGGGCUGUAGUCGGUCCCAAGGGUUGGGCUGUUCGCCCAUUAAAGCGGUACGCGAGCUGGGUUCAGAACGUCGUGAGACAGUUCGGUCCCUAUCCGUCGUGGGCGUAGGAAAUUUGAGAGGAGCUGUCCUUAGUACGAGAGGACCGGGAUGGACGCACCGCUGGUGUACCAGUUGUUCUGCCAAGGGCAUAGCUGGGUAGCUAUGUGCGGAAGGGAUAAGUGCUGAAAGCAUCUAAGCAUGAAGCCCCCCUCAAGAUGAGAUUUCCCAUAGCGUAAGCUAGUAAGAUCCCUGAAAGAUGAUCAGGUUGAUAGGUUCGAGGUGGAAGCAUGGUGACAUGUGGAGCUGACGAAUACUAAUAGAUCGAGGACUUAACCAUAUAA